RNAcentral lists this long non-coding RNA (8097 nucleotides) under Podarcis lilfordi (Lilford's wall lizard). Lineage: Eukaryota; Metazoa; Chordata; Lepidosauria; Squamata; Lacertidae. The record is from RNAcentral.
AGCGAGGGACUAUCUGGGGGAGGGACAGUGCAGCGGCCGCCCAGCGCAGUGCUGAGCGCAGGAGAGAACCACACCAGACCAGCCCAGGCAGCAGCAAGAAGAAGCUGGCAGCGGCGGCAGGUUAGGGGUUAGGGGGCGCAAAUUACUUGCCUUGCCCCGGGUUAGGGGGCGCAAAUUACUUGCCUUGCCCCGGGUGCUGACAACCCACGCUACGCCGCUGGUUGUCUUUGAUUGGCUGUAGUGAAAUUUGGUUUUGUGUGUGUGUUUUUGGAUCAGGUUAGCCAGAUUGAUCCGUAUGAUGUUGGUGGAUUCUUCUUGUUGUCAUGUUGGGCUGUGUAUGUUACAAAAGAAGAACCAUACCAAGGUGAAGGCAUCUUUUAUUUGUCCCCGUGUCAAAAUGAAACAUACUUCUAAGGAAAUGCACAUAGGGUUGGGAAGCAGGUGUGCACAGAAUUGCAGCCUUUAAGCUGAAGGCAACCAUCAGCAGCUGAAUCUGUGUGAAGAAAGGGGAUUGUCUGAGUUAGUUAGGCGCUCAGUUGCCAGUGCCUCUUACAAAGAUCUCCGCAGUUCUUGUAUUGGCUGGGAGCGCAAUUCAUAGGGAAUGGAGAAAGCAGAGUGGAAUAAAGAAACGGGUGGGUUUAUUAAGGAAAUGUGCAAGGCAGGCAGACACUGAUUAUUCAGGAUACUGACUGGAAAACAACCCUGAGGCUCUCUGGAGUGCCUUUCUUCAACCCCCAACCAACCAACACCCCCCCCCCCCAGUAUGUUAUAGUUCAAAGACUUAACACUAAUGGACAGAAAUGCCACAAAUGUGUUUAUAUUUACUGUGAACGCUUUGGUAAGCAGGCAAGGCUCCCGCUUUCUCCUCAAAAGCAAGACAGAACUAGGCCGAACUGUGCAUGUGGCCUAGUGGUUGCCUAUCCUUUCACACGGAAAGAAAGAACUGAGGUUUUUGUGGGGUUUCUAGUGCUAAAAAUGAGGGGGGAAGUAUUCCACAAGCAAGAAAAAUAAACAGAACAACUGCACGAAGCAUUUGAAACCCAGCCUUCUCUUCUGAAUAGCUAUGGCUAACUCUCCUUAUUUAACAUUUCCGCUGCACCCAAGUUCAAUCCAGUGCCUUUGCAUUUCUAUAAAAGAAAAAGAAAAACCUUUUAAGUGAUGACGAAGCUCUUCUUGCUCAUCAGGGUGCUGUGCCGUGCCCUUCCCCUCAGAUCCUUUUCCUGAGAGGCCUGCUUCUUUCCUCCCAUGCAUAGUUAGCUAUGUGGGCACCUAAUGGCAUAAAUGACAACAGGUUCUCUACACGGGGAGGGAGGCAAUGCUUAAAGCGGUAUAUUUUACUACCUGUGGGAUUGGGGAAAGAUUUCACUUGUCGGGUAAUUGGCAAUAGACACAAGCACCACUCAGAGAGCACCCAAGUGGGUGGGUGGAAUUGUUCCAGUCAGUCGGUGCAAUCUAUUAUUUAGAGAGAAGUAUCAGAAUAUGCUAAACUAGCCUUCAUAAUUACUUCUUCUGUAGGUUCUCACGGGCCUCUUACCACAGAAGAGAAGGCUUCCUAAAAUGUGACAGUAUCUAUUUAUAUGCUCCCCAAAACUAGAUUAACACAGGCUACACACAAACCUAUUAAAUUCCACCCCCUUCUUUCGCUCUCCAUGAUCCCCUCCCCACAGAGGCUUAUUGCUUUCCUUUGUGCUGUCCUCUCUAUAUUUACCAGCUUCUAGCCCCUGCUGAGCAAGUUGUUAGUCAUUAUUAUCUUCCCCUCAGAAUUCAUAUCUGAUACGUUUGGAACAGUUCUUCCUGAGACGUAUACUGUAAAUUGUUUUUGUAGAAAAUUAUUUCCUGAGGACGAGAGGACUGCCAUAGCACAGGAAUACAUUCUUAUCCAUGGGUUUCCCAUACACAGAAGUCAUUUGUCUAUCUACAGUCUCUCUAUUAAAACAUCUAGAAAAUGAAUUCCCUUGGCGUGAGAUGUAAUUUCAAACGUCAUAUUAGCAUGUCUAGAUUUGACCCAGGGUAAAAAUAAAAAAUAAAAAUGCCAGUUCUUCCAUAUUCCUAUGCCGUUUUAUAAAAAAUCCUGUCGAUAGGAUAAUUUAUAGAAAUAGAUUUGCAAAUUUGUCCCUGAAGUCUACCACAUAAAUGUGGUUUUCUGGGGGGCGGGGGAAGCAUGAAUUCCUUUACCAGCCAUAUUAAGUUGUUCUGAAAAAUGAAAACAUUUGUGGUCAGUUACUUCAGCUGGACUAACAGGGAUGGUUGGUUGGUUUUGCUAACACUCUUCUAUGAUUUGGGUAAGUGCAUCCUGUUGUGGGGAGCUCCUGCAUAUAAGCAAUAAAAAUAACUAGCAGAUCAUUUUCAUGCAUUUUAUACAUACUCUGCAGUUUUGGAUGAGAUCACCAAAAUCAUGGAAUGCAAUUUAUUUGAGGUGGAAAGGACUUAAAGAAGAGCCCAGAAUUUUAGAACAAUGGAUGUCCUUAGCAAGAGGAAAGCAUUCUUAUUAAUCUAAGCAAGUAACCCAUAUGAUAGUGGUAUUUGGGGCAAGUUCUUAUUCAAAACUGAUAGUAUUUUAUGCCUCAUUUUUCUUCAUUUGAGAGCUACUCAAAUUUCUGAUUACUACAGGGCUAUACUUUAAUGGCUAAAUGAAUAAUAAGAAAAAGACACAAGACUGGAUACUUCUGUGAAAAUCACAGGGCAUUUUUUUUUGUUGAAUAUUGUAUUUAUUGAGUACUGUAUUGUUUAUAUGUUUUGAAGGCUUGGAAAUAAAUUGUUAUUAUCAUUUCUGUAUUUUAUUGGGUGUUACACAAAGGGUACAGGCUGUGUGAUUGCACAAUUGUCAUUCCACCUCUGCCACAUAAUUCUUUUCUGUUCAUAAUUACAACUCUGCCUUUGUCAGCCCCCAUAAUAAUUAUACUGGUAUAAUUAGCUAGAUUCUGUAAGAAAUCUCAUUCAGAAUUGCUUAUAUUGUUUCAUACCUAAGAAGGAUUUUGUUCCCAUUUCUGAAGAUCUUUCAAAAUUAAUUCCCAGAAAUAAUGGAUGGCUAGAGUUACAGGGCCUAGUGGAAUAAAAGCUGGCUUUGAUAAAAAAAGCAUCUUUGUAGGAUCAAAGUGUUUCUAAGAGGGUAUUUCAAUAUAAGGAUUCUUCUAAACUGGAAAAAAAACACUAAGCAUUGAUAUUGGUUUGUGUUUCAGAGGGGGACAAACAACAAUUCUUAUUUAAAACACCCCCCUCCAUGUGUAUAUGUUGUCUGCUGAAUAGGUUGUAGCUUAAAAUCUCAUUGAUUUCCAUUGACUUUACAUGCUUUUUGCACACUAGCAGGUAGGGAGAGGCUGCUGAACCAUAUAUUUAAAAGAUAAAAGGGGAACUAUUAUGACAAUCUUUGACUGUGUACAUAUUGACAGCUUAACGUGCGGCAAGGUUGCUGUUGUUGUUUUUUCUUCUGCAUUUCAAAUCCUUCAGGCUCCUCUUACAUUCCAAGUGUUUCCAAGUCACUUCGUUUGGCUUAUGUUUUCAAAUCAGAUUGAAUCUAGGUUUUUUAUGCGUGUGUGUGUGUGUGUGCCUCAAAACGCAGUAUUUUUCAAGAAACUACAGGCUAACGACAUGUUCACAAACCAGCAGUGGAAACACACCAGAUGCAGAGUAAACAUGAGUGUGUACACAGCUCAAGUUGCUUUUAUCUAUGACGUAUCCCAGUCGGUCCAAUCCAAAUGUUGAGUGCCUGAGACAGCAAAUGAAAUAUUUUUUAACUGGCAGAUUUCUCUAUGUCAAGUGUAUACUGUUUUUAAUACAUAUACAUAUUCUCUCUCAUUGGGGUUUUAAUUUUUUCUGAUAUUUGCUUCCCUUCUAAACUCCUUUAAUUCCUUUAAUUUCCAGGUCUGAUAAUUUAUGAUCCUGUUGAAGUCCAGCAUCCCUUGUAUUUUCCUGCCAAUUGACAGUAUUUUUCUCUCAACUGUCACGUCCAAGUCUACGAGAGGUAUCAAUAAUAAAUAAUGAUUGAAUCCAAGGAACACUUGUUGAGUGCUGCAUGCCAUCUGCUUAUAAAUUCCUCACUGGUUCUAAAUUUCCCCCAGCUUUUUGUUAAUUUGUAUUCCUUGAGAGGAAUAUAUUCAGAUCUACUAUGCUCCAGUAGAGUACCAGUACAUAAAUCUAAUCUGGCUUUCUUUUUAUGUAAUUUUACAGACUCAUUCCAGUCCUCUGUUGGGCUUGUAAGAAAAAUGGAUGUCUUUCUGCCGUAAUUCCACAACUAGGCAGUUGAACAGAAACGAGAUGUUUAUUAGAACCAAACCCAGUUCUUGGGGGCCUAUAUAUAGGGAGGUGGUGUUGUUUUUGGUUAUUCUGGACUGAAGAUGGGCAUAAUCAACAUGGCCGUCUUUAGCAGUGCAGCGCUGGGGUGCAAAUAUCCGCCCAGCGCCCCCAAAUUACCAUGGAUAGUGUUGGGGUGGCCAUAGCUGCGCACUGCCAGUCAUCCGGGGGGGGGGCUCUCCCCCAUGCCGCUGCGGGAGAGUGAUCCUCACAGAGGCUUGGGAGUGAAGUUGCGCCCCUCCCAAGCCUCCAUGGGAGGAGAGCGCAGCUUCCCUCCCAAGCCUCCUCGGGAGGAGAGCGAUCCCCGCAGAAGCUUGGGAGGGAAGCUGCAUGCCCGCCAGCCUUAUGGUUGGUGGGGCGUAGCUGGCUGGCAUGCAGUGAAAGGGGAGGCCUCCAGCAAAGCUGCACAGCUCCCCCACUCGCUGGGGCACCCCUGAGGGGCCAGCACGUUGGUGCAAUGCACCACUAAGUCCUAUGGGAAAGACGGCUCUGAUAAUGAAGUCAUAUGAGUGCACCACCAUGUAAGUAAACAAGUGUGUAAUCAAGCAAUGUAUGUGCAUGAGUGAUUUGGACCUAAGAGUGCUUGUGGUGGUACGCAUUAACUACAGAUCUGUGACUGUGGUGAUAAUACAGUAUAGUACUUGCUGCACCAUCACGCUAUUAAUAUCUGGACUGACAAAACAAGCAACCUCCUCCCACCUGCAAACUGACAAGAAUCCCCAGAAAUGGUUGUGUGAAUCAGCUUUCCAUGUGGGGGUAUGAACUAGACAGAAAUGAUGGCUCUACACAUCAGUUUCCUUUUAAUUCUGUUGCUAAUGUCGCUGCAGAAGGUGCUGGCUUCAGGAAAGCCAAGAUCUCAGCAAUAAGUAUUUUUAGUUAAAAUUGCUCCCAGAGAGACAAUGAUGCAUUUUGCCCUAAGAGCAAAGGUGUGCAAACAGGGCUGUGCAACUAAGGAAAGAGAGACAGGUUAGCAGCCAGUCAGAUAAUAGGAAAAGAACAGCGAGGCAAUGCAGCAGCAGAAAUGAUGUGCCUGCUGCCAAGGCAGUGGCGGCCAUUAAUGUUUUCAAUGUUUUCAAUGCGAGUCAAUAGAAGAUAGCAGUUAAGCAUAUCAUAGACCUGUUUAAACAAGAAGCAGAACCAAGAUGUAAAGCUUGGGUGUGGAUGGGUGGGUAUAAAUGAUAGAGAUUGUAAUUUAGAGCGAGGUAUGUGUGUUCUCUCUUAAGGACCAGCAGAUGGGCAGCUAUAUUGUCUUAUAAAAUAACUGUUUGCAUGUAGAAAAAUAGCACAUCAGGGAUAAGAUUUUUGCCUAACCUUCUCCCUGACAUGUUGUUUUCCUGUGUUCACUGGAUGGGGUAUUUGAGCAUUCAAACACACAACCCAUCCACCUACGGCCUGAUUCUGCUGUGUGUAUGGACUGGUCCAGACAGUAACUAUAAGAAACCCUCUUGUGCUUUGGAACUAGGUAAUCAAUGACAGAAAAUCCCACUUCACAGCUGCCUGUAAUGUCAUGUAAUAUAUCAAGUAUUACUAUGAUUUCAAGGCUAGUUGCAUUCUGUCAGUCUGGAAACUUGUCAAGGGAAUCAACUGAGCUGCUCUUCCUUCCCUGUAGUCUACCUUUCAGUGGUUCCGUAAUGUGCUAUAAUUCUUGUAUGUGUACAAGGAUCAAGGGCCUCCAUAUCAGAAACAAGACCUUUAGUAAAUGAGAACCCAAGAUUGCUGAGUAUGGCACCAGCCUGCACUGGCGGAGGAAGGGGGUGCGGGGGAUGCGGUCCGCCCUGGAUGUCAUCCCUGAGGGGAGUUGACAUCGCCGCCCAGCCCCCAUAGGAGACUCACCGCGGGCAGCACCGCCCCCGUGGGACACACGCAGAGCCUCCCCCGUGGGGGCUUGGCCCGCCCCUGUGUGCACAGCAUGUGCGCCGCUCCAGGUGCCAGAUCAGCUAGCUCCGCCUCUGCCGGCUUGUGCAGCAGAAAUGCCCUUUAGAAGCUGUGUGGGAGCCACUUCUCCAUGAGCAGCUCCCAUAAGACUGAAUUUUUAAAUGACUCAGCCAUAUGAAACCAGGGUCUUUCCUAUAAACUAGCACCUUCAGUUUCGUGGGAAUGGCCUAUAUGAUUCCCACUACCAUGUCGCUAGGUCUCCCACCCCAAAUAUUUUGAUUGGCAUUUUCAUAAACUGCUGGGUCUCUUAAAGGCUGUUAUUCAAGCAUUCUCCCAGCUGCUCAUUGACAAGAGGUUACUGUAUGCCUUAGAGAACCUCCAAAGAACAGUACAACAGUAGCCCCUAAGGCAAUCUCAAGUAGGACUCAAAUUAUGGGGGGGUGGGGAAUAGGGGAGCUCUUAAAACCAUUCACACCCUGUACCCCUCGAUUCCUUCCAGUUUUAGCCAGAUCAUGCCUCCCCCCUCCCCGUUAGCCUUUUAAAAUGGUUGUGAAUGAGGCUUCACAACAGAGAAUGGGCCCCAGCCCCCUCUGCCCCCCUCUGUAAUUUGAGCACUGGCCAAAUUGAGAAGGGUAGAUGUGGGUAACUGAGGCUGCGGCAUUCUGCUCAUGAGGAUUCUGUCUCAACUUGGAAGUGAGAAGUGAAUGGCCCAGAAGAAGCAGAGAGAGGGAAGCUGGACAAGAGAGGCAAAAUAAAACUGUAAGGUGCUGCUUGGAAAGAAAGUGUAAGGCAGGUGUGGGGAACCUGUGGCUCUCCAGAUGUGACUGAACUACAACUCCCAUCAGCCCCAGCAAGCAUUGCCAAUGGCCUAGGGUGAUGAGAGUUGUAGUUCAGCAACACUGGAGGGCCUAAGAUUCCCCACUCCUGAGGUAAGACUUUUUACUAAUUAGAAAUAGGAGCAACAAGUAGCACUGAAGGAGAUUCUAGUUAAAGGCCUUAUUAUUUUGCCUUGAUUGAUAUUUCAUUUUCCCUAAACUCCCUCGUUCCGGGAGGUGUCAAGAAUUAUUCCCCUUUUGUUCCUGUCAGAGGGGAAUGAAACACACUCCCAAGGACAGGGCUUUAAUUGGGUUUUUCUGUGCGUUUCUUCAGGUUUCAUUGUGUUGCUGUUCAGGCAAAGCAACAAUUGAACAAACACCUGGGAAGCCAAACCUGACUGGAAUGGAGAGGAGGGAAGGGAAGGUUUCAAGCGUUCCUGUCAUGAAAUCAUCACGCUGCCUCCCCCAUUUCCCAGACAGCCCAGGUGGAAAAAAGCCCUGGAGCCGCUCUGCUCCUUGGAUGCUCUGCUCAGCCAGGUUUGAGUGGAGUAUUUCUAAGUAGCAGGAGUGCUCAAGGGCAUGAUGUGCAGGGUUCCACUCAGUGCUCUCUCUCUCUCUCUCUCCCUCUUGCUCUCUCUCUCUUCCCACCCCCAACAGCUCAUUAUUUCUCCUCCUCCCAGGCAGCAAAUGUUAUUAAAAUAACAGAAGGAGCCCAACUAGAAUCAUAAAGUGAAUACUGGACUAGGAGCCACAAUGGAAAAGGGAAUUAAAGAGGCAGAUAAAGGGUGACAAAACAGCGACAAAAGCUACUGGAGGUCAGGUGAACAGUAGCACCCUUUCACCCCAUCCACUACUGGCCACGAGUCAAAAAAGCCAAUGUGGUAGUGUUUCGAAUGAUGGACUAGUACCUGUGAGACCACAGUUCAAAUCCCUACUCAGUUGCAAAACUGACUGGGUGAUCCCGAACCAGUCACAAUCUCCCAGCCUAACCUACCUCACAGGGUUGUUGUGAGGAGAAAAAGCCAAGGGGAAGAGAACUGUGUAUGCCACCUUGAGUUCCUUGGACAAAAUAUGGUUUAGAAAUGUAUUAAGAAAUAAACAAUCCCCUCCAAGUAAA